UGGCGAGGUAGCUCAGCUGGUUAGAGCACGGGAAUCAUAAUCCUGGGGUCGGGGGUUCGAGUCCCUCCCUCGCUACCAC
RNAcentral lists this transfer RNA (79 nucleotides) under Afipia carboxidovorans OM5. Its description in RNAcentral is "Oligotropha carboxidovorans OM5 tRNA-Met". It matches the Rfam family "tRNA". Rfam says of the family: Transfer RNA (tRNA) molecules are approximately 80 nucleotides in length. Their secondary structure includes four short double-helical elements and three loops (D, anti-codon, and T loops). Further hydrogen bonds mediate the characteristic L-shaped molecular structure. tRNAs have two regions of fundamental functional importance: the anti-codon, which is responsible for specific mRNA codon recognition, and the 3' end, to which the tRNAs corresponding amino acid is attached (by aminoacyl-tRNA synthetases). tRNAs cope with the degeneracy of the genetic code in two manners: having more than one tRNA (with a specific anti-codon) for a particular amino acid; and 'wobble' base-pairing, i.e. permitting non-standard base-pairing at the 3rd anti-codon position. Lineage: Bacteria; Pseudomonadati; Pseudomonadota; Alphaproteobacteria; Hyphomicrobiales; Nitrobacteraceae. The record is from RNAcentral.